This 535-nucleotide long non-coding RNA is filed under the name Drosophila guanche. Lineage: Eukaryota; Metazoa; Arthropoda; Insecta; Diptera; Drosophilidae. The record is from RNAcentral.
AUUGAAAAUUCACAACAAAAAAAGUCACAUGGGAGAUCUAGAUUAUCAGCUAUGUAAAUAUUGCAUAUAGUCUGUAUGUACGUUGCGCUCGAUUUCAGUUCGAUUCCAAUCUCUCUGCUAAGUCGAGCGUUAAGUUCGAGCUUUCAGUUUAAUUUUUCUGAGGCAACUGGAAAUACUUUGAUUAUUCUACUGAUAAGAACUUGUUCACUUAUUGUGGAAUCUCAACGAAGAAACAAAUAUAAUUCAAAGCUUGCACAACAUGGACAUUUCUAUACUGUCUGCUCUGACACUGAUGCUGGCUGUCUGGGCUGUGGCUGUGGCUGGGGGUGUGUAAUCUACGUCUACGUCGUAUAAUAAUUAUAAUAAAUGAACAAACUUGCAGAUUGUGUGACAGAUCCCGUGACCAUGCUGUGCAUUUUGGAUCCCAAUCAGGGCUAAUAACCAUAUGCGGAUACUGAUAUGUGUCUCCAACCAGAGUGGAUUCUCUCUUGAAUAAAGUGAAAACGUGGAACUAAAGUUUUUGACACAGAUUUUC